AAAAGAGGGACGAAAGAUACCAAAAGGGACAGUCAAACUCAUAAAUCUAAAACAAACUGACAACGCCAUGGCUAAAAAUGAAAAGGACAAACAAACAACAGCACACACGACACAACAUAGAAAACUAAAGAAUAAACAACACGAACCCCACCAAAAAACUAGGGGUGAUCUCAGGUGCUCCGGAAGGGUAAGCAGAUCCUGCUCCACAUGUGGCACCCGUCGUGUUGCUUAUGUGAUAACAAAUCCGGUAAAUAGUCUU
RNAcentral lists this long non-coding RNA (259 nucleotides) under Mytilus galloprovincialis (Mediterranean mussel). Lineage: Eukaryota; Metazoa; Mollusca; Bivalvia; Mytilida; Mytilidae. The record is from RNAcentral.